CAGCAACUGGUGCUAGGAGGGUGGUCAGA
RNAcentral lists this non-coding RNA (29 nucleotides) under Homo sapiens (human). The record is from RNAcentral. Lineage: Eukaryota; Metazoa; Chordata; Mammalia; Primates; Hominidae.